This 356-nucleotide ribosomal RNA is filed under the name uncultured bacterium. RNAcentral describes it as "bacterial SSU rRNA". It matches the Rfam family "Bacterial small subunit ribosomal RNA", at positions 917 to 1267 of the family's 1533-position model. The record is from RNAcentral.
GGGCUCACACAAGCGGUGGAGGAUGUGGCUUAAUUCGAGGCUACGCGAAGAACCUUAUCCUAGUCUUGACAUGUAUGGAUUAACCCUGUGAAAGCAGGGCCACGCCUUCGGGUGGAACAUACACAGGUGCUGCAUGGCUGUCGUCAGCUCGUGUCGUGAGAUGUCGCGUUAAGUCGCUUAACGAGCGAAACCCUUGUCUCUAGUUGCCAGCGCGUAAUGGCGGGGACUCUAGAGAGACCGCCGGCGUUAAGCCGGAGGAAGGUGGGGAUGACGUCAAGUCCUCAUGGCCCUUAUGACUAGGGCUGCACACGUCCUACAAUGGUCGGUACAGAGAGCAGCCACUACGCGAGUAGGAG